This 734-nucleotide ribosomal RNA is filed under the name Achromobacter sp. 110609_136_C_E11. Its description in RNAcentral is "bacterial SSU rRNA". It matches the Rfam family "Bacterial small subunit ribosomal RNA", at positions 11 to 740 of the family's 1533-position model. The record is from RNAcentral. Lineage: Bacteria; Pseudomonadati; Pseudomonadota; Betaproteobacteria; Burkholderiales; Alcaligenaceae.
GGUUGAUUAUGGCUCAGAUUGAACGCUAGCGGGAUGCCUUACACAUGCAAGUCGAACGGCAGCACGGACUUCGGUCUGGUGGCGAGUGGCGAACGGGUGAGUAAUGUAUCGGAACGUGCCUAGUAGCGGGGGAUAACUACGCGAAAGCGUAGCUAAUACCGCAUACGCCCUACGGGGGAAAGCAGGGGAUCGCAAGACCUUGCACUAUUAGAGCGGCCGAUAUCGGAUUAGCUAGUUGGUGGGGUAACGGCUCACCAAGGCGACGAUCCGUAGCUGGUUUGAGAGGACGACCAGCCACACUGGGACUGAGACACGGCCCAGACUCCUACGGGAGGCAGCAGUGGGGAAUUUUGGACAAUGGGGGAAACCCUGAUCCAGCCAUCCCGCGUGUGCGAUGAAGGCCUUCGGGUUGUAAAGCACUUUUGGCAGGAAAGAAACGUCAUGGGUUAAUACCCCGUGAAACUGACGGUACCUGCAGAAUAAGCACCGGCUAACUACGUGCCAGCAGCCGCGGUAAUACGUAGGGUGCAAGCGUUAAUCGGAAUUACUGGGCGUAAAGCGUGCGCAGGCGGUUCGGAAAGAAAGAUGUGAAAUCCCAGAGCUUAACUUUGGAACUGCAUUUUUAACUACCGAGCUAGAGUGUGUCAGAGGGAGGUGGAAUUCCGCGUGUAGCAGUGAAAUGCGUAGAUAUGCGGAGGAACCACCGAUGGCGAAGGCAGCCUCCCUGGGAUAAC